This is a long non-coding RNA of Cebus imitator (Panamanian white-faced capuchin), 550 nucleotides long. RefSeq lists it as uncharacterized. The transcript has 3 exons. NCBI's taxonomy places the organism in Eukaryota, Metazoa, Chordata, Mammalia, Primates, Cebidae. The record is from RefSeq and is a predicted model, not a curated record.
GAUCACUUCCACUGUGGUGUAAAGCCCAGUCUAGCCUCCUGAUGACAAAGGACCACAGGGAGACAGAGACCCAGGCUGCAGCUAACCUGCCAGUUUUUGCUAGGGACUGCACAACAAAAUCACCUUUGGAGACAUAACAAACGUGCAGAGGUACAGACGUCUAUGUUUUCAGAAGGCUCCAGGUGAGUCUGGGAGGCACACCCCUGAUUUAGAACCACUGCCUUAAGCCACACCAAAUACCUGGCAUAUAAAACAACACGGAGAGCUCAUAAAAGCUAAUCUCCGCGAAGCCUUCAAGCAUAAUUAGAAAGGAGAAGAGACGAUGAUUUCACCAUAUCCAAACUUGGAACUCCAAUAACAACUCCUACUCAUGGCCACAACGGCUUCAUCCUUAUCACAGCUCUCUUUGAAUAAAAGCUUCUCAAAAAGCUAAGCCAUUUUUCUUCCUAAUGGGCAUCUUUAAAGAACAGACCCUGGAGCUCGACCUUGAAUGCUUUGAAUCCCAGUUCUGCCACUUAAACUGUGUGAUUUGGGGCAAGUUAUAUUCUUU